ACCAGUGGAUCUUUUGAAGCAAAACAGUCUGUUUGUGAGAGACAACAACUAUAUAUUUUUAGCUAAUUUAUGUUAUUUAUUAAAUCUCAUGACAAACAACAAACCAUAUGACAACUAGUCAUGAGACACACGAGAACCAAUGAGAGUCGUGCCGCCAUAAUUCGAGAAAGGAAAUCAUAUACAUCUGGGAUGGCAAAUGGGUAAGUAAAUUAUGAAUUUUUAUAUUUUGGUGAACUAUUCAUUUAACACCAAUGCUCUGUGGAAAAUAGUUUAAAAUUGUUGACUGACACAUUAAAAAAUGAAUGCAGAUGGGUAAUGAGUUUAGAUGGAUAUGUAAUUCCAACUGACGACACCCAAUUCAACUUUGUUGAACUGCAGCUCCUCAUUUUGAUUACAAAUGAGGCAGCUUUUGAAGACAUUACCUGCUGGGAAUAUUUUCAGCAUCACUUGCGGUCAGCGAUCUUUCAUCACAACCCGAAUAAAUUGUCCAUCCAUCCUGUGUGUGUGUGUGUGUUGAUAGCGGGCAGAGCAGCCGGCAGUAUGAGGGUUAACGCUGACAAGAACAGUAAUGAGAGAGCAGCCAGACGCGCAAGACUGCUGCUGCUGUUGUUUUUUCCACACCAUUUGUCACAAUCCAACUCUCCUGGGCUCAGUUUUUCUCUCUCCCUCACCAGGGAGUGGCAUUCGGAUGAACUCUUGUCAGUUAAGGUGUUACACCGCUGUCCCUGGAUGUGUGAGGUCAUACGAUUACUUAUUCAUCUGCCAGUUCUCCUACUACUACUCUGCGAUGUGAAAAAGUCUGACAUUUGACCCAUGAGCUCUGGGAAGGGUUGAAGGCAAACUGAGAGAAAAGGAUAAAGCGAGAGAUGUAAUUUCAAUAAAAAUGUUAUGUCAAUGACACUGUA
Misgurnus anguillicaudatus (oriental weatherfish) is the source of this 905-nucleotide long non-coding RNA. RefSeq lists it as uncharacterized. The record is from RefSeq and is a predicted model, not a curated record. Lineage: Eukaryota; Metazoa; Chordata; Actinopteri; Cypriniformes; Cobitidae.